This 268-nucleotide long non-coding RNA is filed under the name Rattus norvegicus (Norway rat). Its description in RNAcentral is "long non-coding RNA NONRATT022632". Lineage: Eukaryota; Metazoa; Chordata; Mammalia; Rodentia; Muridae. The record is from RNAcentral.
CCAUUACAUCCGAAAGUCCAACCGCUUUGAGAAGCGUCACAAGAACAUGUCUGUGCACCUGUCCCCCUGUUUCAGGGACGUCCAGAUUGGCGACAUUGUCACUGUUGGAGAGUGCAGGCCCCUGAGAGCAAGACUGUUCGAUUCAAUGUGCUCAAGGUCACCAAGGCUGCUGGCACCAAGAAGCAGUUUCAGAAGUUCUGAGGGGACUCUAGCCAAUGCCCUAGAACAAAUAAAAGUUAUUUUCCAACUUCCAAAAAAAAAAAAAAAA